AGACUGGUUUUAAUUAAAACCACCUACAUUGUAUUGCACUAAAUUU
This is a non-coding RNA of Alligator mississippiensis (American alligator), 46 nucleotides long. Lineage: Eukaryota; Metazoa; Chordata; Crocodylia; Alligatoridae. The record is from Rfam.